This 68-nucleotide transfer RNA is filed under the name Marmota monax (woodchuck). RNAcentral's name for it is "tRNA.Ile". Lineage: Eukaryota; Metazoa; Chordata; Mammalia; Rodentia; Sciuridae. The record is from RNAcentral.
GUUGUGGCUCAGUGGUAGAAUGCUCACUUAAUGUUGGUGAGGCCCUGGGUUUGAUCCUCAGCACAACA